UUAAGCGACUAAGCGUACACGGUGGAUGCCCUGGCAGUCAGAGGCGAUGAAGGACGUGCUAAUCUGCGAAAAGCGUCGGUAAGGUGAUAUGAACCGUUAUAACCGGCGAUGUCCGAAUGGGGAAACCCAGUGCAAUUCGUUGCACUAUCGUUAACUGAAUACAUAGGUUAACGAGGCGAACCGGGGGAACUGAAACAUCUAAGUACCCCGAGGAAAAGAAAUCAACCGAGAUUCCCCCAGUAGCGGCGAGCGAACGGGGAGCAGCCCAGAGUCUGAAUCAGCUUGUGUGUUAGUGGAACGGUCUGGAAAGUCCGACGGUACAGGGUGAUAGUCCCGUACACCAAAAUGCACAGGUUGUGAACUCGAAGAGUAGGGCGGGACACGUGGUAUCCUGUCUGAAUAUGGGGGGACCAUCCUCCAAGGCUAAAUACUCCUGACUGACCGAUAGUGAACCAGUACCGUGAGGGAAAGGCGAAAAGAACCCCGGCGAGGGGAGUGAAAAAGAACCUGAAACCGUGUACGUACAAGCAGUGGGAGCACCUUCGGGUGUGACUGCGUACCUUUUGUAUAAUGGGUCAGCGACUUAUAUUCUGUAGCAAGGUUAACCGUAUAGGGGAGCCGCAGGGAAACCGAGUCUUAACUGGGCGUUAAGUUGCAGGGUAUAGACCCGAAACCCGGUGAUCUAGCCAUGGGCAGGUUGAAGGUUGGGUAACACUAACUGGAGGACCGAACCGACUAAUGUUGAAAAAUUAGCGGAUGACUUGUGGCUGGGGGUGAAAGGCCAAUCAAACCGGGAGAUAGCUGGUUCUCCCCGAAAGCUAUUUAGGUAGCGCCUCGUGAAUUCAUCUUCGGGGGUAGAGCACUGUUUCGGCUAGGGGGUCAUCCCGACUUACCAACCCGAUGCAAACUACGAAUACCGAAGAAUGUUAUCACGGGAGACACACGGCGGGUGCUAACGUCCGUCGUGAAGAGGGAAACAACCCAGACCGCCAGCUAAGGUCCCAAAGUCAUGGUUAAGUGGGAAACGAUGUGGGAAGGCACAGACAGCCAGGAUGUUGGCUUAGAAGCAGCCAUCAUUUAAAGAAAGCGUAAUAGCUCACUGGUCGAGUCGGCCUGCGCGGAAGAUGUAACGGGGCUAAACCAUGCACCGAAGCUGCGGCAGCGACACUAUGUGUUGUUGGGUAGGGGAGCGUUCUGUAAGCCUGCGAAGGUGACCUGUGAGGGUUGCUGGAGGUAUCAGAAGUGCGAAUGCUGACAUAAGUAACGAUAAAGCGGGUGAAAAGCCCGCUCGCCGGAAGACCAAGGGUUCCUGUCCAACGUUAAUCGGGGCAGGGUGAGUCGACCCCUAAGGCGAGGCCGAAAGGCGUAGUCGAUGGGAAACAGGUUAAUAUUCCUGUACUUGGUGUUACUGCGAAGGGGGGACGGAGAAGGCUAUGUUAGCCGGGCGACGGUUGUCCCGGUUUAAGCAUGUAGGCUGAUUGUCCAGGCAAAUCCGGAUAAUCAAGGCUGAGGUGUGAUGACGAGGCACUACGGUGCUGAAGUAACAAAUGCCCUGCUUCCAGGAAAAGCCUCUAAGCAUCAGGUAACAUCAAAUCGUACCCCAAACCGACACAGGUGGUCAGGUAGAGAAUACCAAGGCGCUUGAGAGAACUCGGGUGAAGGAACUAGGCAAAAUGGUGCCGUAACUUCGGGAGAAGGCACGCUGGUGUGUAGGUGAAGCCCCUGCGGGUGGAGCUGAGACCAGUCGAAGAUACCAGCUGGCUGCAACUGUUUAUUAAAAACACAGCACUGUGCAAACACGAAAGUGGACGUAUACGGUGUGACGCCUGCCCGGUGCCGGAAGGUUAAUUGAUGGGGUUAUCCGUAAGGAGAAGCUCUUGAUCGAAGCCCCGGUAAACGGCGGCCGUAACUAUAACGGUCCUAAGGUAGCGAAAUUCCUUGUCGGGUAAGUUCCGACCUGCACGAAUGGCGUAAUGAUGGCCAGGCUGUCUCCACCCGAGACUCAGUGAAAUUGAACUCGCUGUGAAGAUGCAGUGUACCCGCGGCAAGACGGAAAGACCCCGUGAACCUUUACUAUAGCUUGACACUGAACAUUGAGCCUUGAUGUGUAGGAUAGGUGGGAGGCUUUGAAGCGUGGACGCCAGUCUGCGUGGAGCCAACCUUGAAAUACCACCCUUUAAUGUUUGAUGUUCUAACGUUGGCCCCUGACCGGGGUUGCGGACAGUGUCUGGUGGGUAGUUUGACUGGGGCGGUCUCCUCCCAAAGCGUAACGGAGGAGCACGAAGGUUAGCUAAUCCUGGUCGGACAUCAGGAGGUUAGUGCAAUGGCAUAAGCUAGCUUGACUGCGAGCGUGACGGCGCGAGCAGGUGCGAAAGCAGGUCAUAGUGAUCCGGUGGUUCUGAAUGGAAGGGCCAUCGCUCAACGGAUAAAAGGUACUCCGGGGAUAACAGGCUGAUACCGCCCAAGAGUUCAUAUCGACGGCGGUGUUUGGCACCUCGAUGUCGGCUCAUCACAUCCUGGGGCUGAAGUAGGUCCCAAGGGUAUGGCUGUUCGCCAUUUAAAGUGGUACGCGAGCUGGGUUUAGAACGUCGUGAGACAGUUCGGUCCCUAUCUGCCGUGGGCGCUGGAGAAUUGAGGGGGGCUGCUCCUAGUACGAGAGGACCGGAGUGGACGCAUCACUGGUGUUCGGGUUGUCAUGCCAAUGGCACUGCCCGGUAGCUAAAUGCGGAAGAGAUAAGUGCUGAAAGCAUCUAAGCACGAAACUUGCCCCGAGAUGAGUUCUCCCUGAGACUUUAAGUCUCCUGAAGGAACGUUGAAGACGACGACGUUGAUAGGCCGGGUGUGUAAGCGCAGCGAUGCGUUGAGCUAACCGGUACUAAUGAACCGUGAGGCUUAACCUU
This 2900-nucleotide ribosomal RNA is filed under the name Klebsiella pneumoniae. RNAcentral's name for it is "bacterial LSU rRNA". It matches the Rfam family "Bacterial large subunit ribosomal RNA". Lineage: Bacteria; Pseudomonadati; Pseudomonadota; Gammaproteobacteria; Enterobacterales; Enterobacteriaceae. The record is from RNAcentral.